GUCACGCCCGAAGUCGUUACUCUAACCGCAAGGAAGAGGACGCCGAAGGUAGGGCUGAUGACUGGGGUGAAGUCGUAACAAGGUAGCCGUACCGGAAGGUGUGGCUGGAUCACCUCCUUU
Molecule: ribosomal RNA, 120 nt
Filed under: Synechocystis pevalekii SAG 91.79
Lineage: Bacteria; Bacillati; Cyanobacteriota; Cyanophyceae; Synechococcales; Merismopediaceae
Description: partial 16S ribosomal RNA
Rfam family: Bacterial small subunit ribosomal RNA
Source: RNAcentral